UAGGUGGGAGGCUUUGAAGUGUGGACGCCAGUCUGCAUGGAGCCAACCUUGAAAUACCACCCUUUAACGUUUGAUGUUCUAACCUAGGCCCAUAAACUGGGUCGGGGACCGUGUCUGGUGGGUAGUUUGACUGGGGCGGUCUCCUCCUAAAGAGUAACGGAGGAGCACGAAGGUUGGCUAAGCAUGGUCGGACAUCAUGCGGUUAGUGCAAAGGCAUAAGCCAGCUUGACUGCGAGAGUGACGGCUCGAGCAGGUACGAAAGUAGGUCUUAGUGAUCCGGUGGUUCUGAAUGGAAGGGCCAUCGCUCAACGGAUAAAAGGUACUCCGGGGAUAACAGGCUGAUACCGCCCAAGAGUUCAUAUCGACGGCGGUGUUUGGCACCUCGAUGUCGGCUCAUCACAUCCUGGGGCUGAAGUAGGUCCCAAGGGUAUGGCUGUUCGCCAUUUAAAGUGGUACGCGAGCUGGGUUUAGAACGUCGUGAGACAGUUCGGUCCCUAUCUGCCGUGGGCGUUGGAAGAUUGAGAGGGGUUGCUCCUAGUACGAGAGGACCGGAGUGAACGCACCACUGGUGUUCGGGUUGUCAUGCCAAUGGCAUUGCCCGGUAGCUAAGUGCGGAAGAGAUAACCGCUGAAAGCAUCUAAGCGGGAAACUUGCCUCGAGAUGAGUCUUCCCUGUCGCUUUAAGCGACCUAAAGGAACGUUUAAGACUAAGACGUUGAUAGGCUGGGUGUGUAAGCGUAGCGAUACGUUGAGCUAACCAGUACUAAUGAACCGUGAG
Molecule: ribosomal RNA, 777 nt
Filed under: Proteus mirabilis
Lineage: Bacteria; Pseudomonadati; Pseudomonadota; Gammaproteobacteria; Enterobacterales; Morganellaceae
Description: partial 23S ribosomal RNA
Rfam family: Bacterial large subunit ribosomal RNA
Source: RNAcentral